This 250-nucleotide ribosomal RNA is filed under the name uncultured Chroococcidiopsis sp. Its description in RNAcentral is "partial 16S ribosomal RNA". It matches the Rfam family "Bacterial small subunit ribosomal RNA", at positions 796 to 1044 of the family's 1533-position model. Lineage: Bacteria; Bacillati; Cyanobacteriota; Cyanophyceae; Chroococcidiopsidales; Chroococcidiopsidaceae. The record is from RNAcentral.
CUAGCUGUAAACGAUGGAUACUAGGCGUUGAGAUUAUCGACCCUCUCAGUGUCGUAGCUAACGCGUUAAGUAUCCCGCCUGGGGAGUACGCGCGCAAGCGUGAAACUCAAAGGAAUUGACGGGGGCCCGCACAAGCGGUGGAGUAUGUGGUUUAAUUCGAUGCAACGCGAAGAACCUUACCAGGGCUUGACAUGUCCGGAACCCUGCCCAAAGGCGGGGGUGCCUACGGGAACCGGAACACAGGUGGUGC